UGGGGAAUCUUGCGCAAUGGUCUAACGACUGACGCAGCGACGCCGCGUGUGGGAGGACGCCUUUCGGGGUGUAAACCACUGUUGCCCGGGACGAACAGCCUUUUUCGAGAGGUCUGACGGUACCGGGUGAGGAAGCACCGGCUAACUCCGUGCCAGCAGCCGCGGUAAUACGGAGGGUGCGAGCGUUGUCCGGAAUCAUUGGGCGUAAAGGGCGCGUAGGUGGCCCAGUCAGCGUGCGGUGAAAGCUCGGGGCUCAACCCCGAGUCGGCCGUGCGAACUACUGGGCUGGAGCACUGUAGAGGCAGGCGGAAUUCCGGGUGUAGCGGUGGAAUGCGUAGAGAUCCGGAAGAACACCGGUGGCGAAGGCGGCCUGCUGGGCAGUUGCUGACACUGAGGCGCGACAGCGUGGGGAGCAAACA
This 419-nucleotide ribosomal RNA is filed under the name uncultured Gemmatimonas sp. RNAcentral describes it as "bacterial SSU rRNA". It matches the Rfam family "Bacterial small subunit ribosomal RNA", at positions 355 to 774 of the family's 1533-position model. Lineage: Bacteria; Pseudomonadati; Gemmatimonadota; Gemmatimonadia; Gemmatimonadales; Gemmatimonadaceae. The record is from RNAcentral.